GAUGAACGCUCGCGAUAGGCUUAACACAUGCAAGUCGAGGGGCAGCACAAGGUAGCUUGCUAUCUGGGUGGCGACCGGCGCACGGGUGCGUAACGCGUAUGCAACUUGCCCUAUACAGGAGGAUAACCCGUCGAAAGACGGACUAAUACUGCGUAUGCUCACAACUUGGCAUCCAGUGGUGAGGAAAGAAAUUCGGUAUAGGAUAGGCAUGCGUCCCAUUAGCUUGUUGGUGAGGUAACGGCUCACCAAGGCAACGAUGGGUAGGGGAACUGAGAGGUUUAUCCCCCACACUGGUACUGAGACACGGACCAGACUCCUACGGGAGGCAGCAGUGAGGAAUAUUGGGCAAUGGGCGCGAGCCUGAACCAGCCAAGUCGCGUGAAGGAUGACUGUCUUAUGGAUUGUAAACUUCUUUUAUACGGGAAUAACAAGAGUCACGUGUGACUCCCUGCAUGUACCGUAUGAAUAAGCAUCGGCUAACUCCGUG
RNAcentral lists this ribosomal RNA (487 nucleotides) under uncultured bacterium. RNAcentral's name for it is "partial 16S ribosomal RNA". It matches the Rfam family "Bacterial small subunit ribosomal RNA", at positions 28 to 507 of the family's 1533-position model. The record is from RNAcentral.